UGGAUCUAGUGGCGCACGAGUGAGUAACGCGUGGGAAACUGCCCACCACUGGGGAAUAACGUUUGGAAACGAACGCUAAUACCGCAUACGCCGGAAACGGGAAAGAUUUAUCGGUGGUGGAUGUGCCCGCGUUGGAUUAGCUUGUUGGUGGGGUAAAGGCUCACCAAGGCGACGAUCAGUAGCCGGCCUGAGAGGGCGACCGGCCACAUUGGGACUGAGACACGGCCCAGACUCCUACGGAAGGCAGCAG
RNAcentral lists this ribosomal RNA (250 nucleotides) under uncultured bacterium. RNAcentral's name for it is "partial 16S ribosomal RNA". It matches the Rfam family "Bacterial small subunit ribosomal RNA", at positions 87 to 354 of the family's 1533-position model. The record is from RNAcentral.